Molecule: unclassified non-coding RNA, 325 nt
Filed under: soil metagenome
Description: partial contains 5.8S ribosomal RNA, internal transcribed spacer 2, and large subunit ribosomal RNA
Rfam family: 5.8S ribosomal RNA (bases 1-120)
Source: RNAcentral
GAUGAAGAACGCAGCGAAAUGCGAUAAGUAAUGUGAAUUGCAGAAUUCAGUGAAUCAUCGAGUCUUUGAACGCACAUUGCGCCCUGUGGUAUUCCGCAGGGCAUGCCUGUUCGAGCGUCAUUUCAACCCUCAAGCCCCGCUUGGUGUUGGGCCCCGCCCGCCGUGGCCGGCCCUAAAGACAGUGGCGGCGCCGCCUGGCCCUCAGCGUAGUACAGCUCUCGCUCCAGGGUCCGGCGGCCGCCUGCCAGAACCCCCCCAACUCUGUGGUUGACCUCGGAUCAGGUAGGGAUACCCGCUGAACUUAAGCAUAUCAAUAAGCGGAGGA